ACAACAAGUUCCAACAGUUUAAGCUCUAUUCAAAAAGCGUAUUGGGCGUGAAUCACAGUCAUAUUGGACUGUAGAAGCAAUAGAUUCAGAAAACAAUGUCAAAAGGCUCAAAG
This is a long non-coding RNA of Solanum tuberosum (potato), 113 nucleotides long. RefSeq lists it as uncharacterized. Lineage: Eukaryota; Viridiplantae; Streptophyta; Magnoliopsida; Solanales; Solanaceae. The record is from RefSeq and is a predicted model, not a curated record. The transcript is spliced from 2 exons.